This 253-nucleotide ribosomal RNA is filed under the name uncultured bacterium. RNAcentral's name for it is "partial 16S ribosomal RNA". It matches the Rfam family "Bacterial small subunit ribosomal RNA", at positions 524 to 776 of the family's 1533-position model. The record is from RNAcentral.
GACAGAGGGUGCGAACGUUGUUCGGAAUUACUGGGCGUAAAGGGUGCGCAGGCGGCGUCGCAAGUCAGGCGUGAAAUCCCCGGGCUUAACCUGGGAACUGCACUUGAAACUAGCGGGCUUGAGUGCGGCAGAGGGGGGUGGAAUUCCACGUGUAGCAGUGAAAUGCGUAGAGAUGUGGAGGAACACCGAUGGCGAAGGCAGCCCCCUGGGUCGACACUGACGCUCAUGCACGAAAGCGUGGGGAGCAAACAGG